Molecule: ribosomal RNA, 997 nt
Filed under: uncultured bacterium
Lineage: Bacteria
Description: bacterial SSU rRNA
Rfam family: Bacterial small subunit ribosomal RNA
Source: RNAcentral
CAGCCGCCGCGGUAAUACAGGAAGGACAAGCGUUGUUCGGUUUUAUUGGGUGUAAAGAGUUCUAAGGCGGUUUCUUAAGUUUAUAAUUAAAGCCUAACGUUUAACGUUAGAAUUUUAUAGAUACUGGGAGACUUGAAAUAGGUAGGGGAAAAGAGAAUUUCUAAUCUAGUGGUAAAAUACGUAAAUUAGAAGGAAUGCCGUAAGCGAAAGCACUUUUCUGGGUCUAUUUGACGCUGUAUGAACGAAACCUCAGGGAGUAAACGGGAUUAGAUACCCCGGUAAUCUGAGGCGUAAACGAUGAAGGUUAAUAAUCUAUAUUGGCGUAAAUAGGUUGUACAGUUAACACGUUAAACCUUCCACCUGGAGAUUACGAUGGCAACAUUAAAAUUCAAAGAAAUUGACGGGAAGACAUAUAUACGGUGGAACAUGAGGUUUAAUUCGAUAAUACGCGAAGAACCUUACCCGCGUUGUAUUAGUUUAAUUUAGUAAAGAGAUUUAUUAAAGCUUAGGCAACUCUAACAGGUGCUGCAUGGCUGUCGUAAAUUCGUGCCGUGAAGUCUUAGGUUAAGUCUGGUAACGAAUGCAACCCUUAUCUAUAGUUAUUAAUCAAAUUAGUUUGAAACCCUAUAGAGACUGCCUAUGAAAAUAGGAGGGAAGGAAAGGAUGACGUCAAGUCAGUAUGGCCCUUAUGCGCGGGGCUACACUCAUGUUACAAUGGAUGAUACAGAGAGUUGUGAGGAAGUGAUUCUGAACCAAUCUUUAAAAUCCAUUCUUAGUCCGGAUUGUAGUCUGCAACUCGACUACAUGAAGCUGAAAUCGUUAGUAAUCGCGGAUCAGAAUGCCGCGGUGAAUUCAUCUGCUGUCUUCUGUACACACCGCCCGUCGCACGGGGGAAGUAAUGAUAUUUUAAAGAUAGCCUUAGUUAACCUUCUAUGAAGGAGACGGGUAUUUAUUAGUAUCAGAAUGACUUCUGUUAAGUCGUAACAAGGUAACCGUA